AUGUUGGAAGCUCAGAAAUGGAGAGCGUCUGCAUGUGUUGGGCAUGUUACCCGAAACUGCAUUCCUCUCCUGCAGUCAAGGCAAAAGUCACAAGCAAGCCGAAGAACAGGAAAGGAAAGGGUAUACUUGCAACAUGCAAAGGCAGACACUGGGUAUUUCCCUAAACAGCGUCUCCUUGGACAACAAAACUGGUUAAGUGUGGAGCUAAGGGUGCGUACAUAUACAUGA
This 228-nucleotide long non-coding RNA is filed under the name Mustela putorius furo (domestic ferret). RNAcentral describes it as "lncRNA (ENSMPUG00000031175.1)". The record is from RNAcentral. Lineage: Eukaryota; Metazoa; Chordata; Mammalia; Carnivora; Mustelidae.